Molecule: ribosomal RNA, 301 nt
Filed under: uncultured bacterium
Lineage: Bacteria
Description: partial 16S ribosomal RNA
Rfam family: Bacterial small subunit ribosomal RNA
Source: RNAcentral
CAGCCGCCGCGGUAAUACGUAGGUGGCAAGCGUUGUCCGGAUUUAUUGGGCGUAAAGCGAGCGCAGGCGGUUCCUUAAGUCUGAUGUGAAAGCCCCCGGCUCAACAGGGGAGGGUCAUUGGAAACUGGGGAACUUGAGUGCAGAAGAGGAGAGUGGAAUUCCAUGUGUAGCGGUGAAAUGCGUAGAUAUAUGGAGGAACACCAGUGGCGAAGGCGACUCUCUGGUCUGUAACUGACGCUGAGGCUCGAAAGCGUGGGUAGCAAACAGGAUUAGAUACCCCAGUAGUCCCUGUCUCUUAUAC